This 560-nucleotide ribosomal RNA is filed under the name Escherichia coli. Its description in RNAcentral is "bacterial SSU rRNA". It matches the Rfam family "Bacterial small subunit ribosomal RNA", at positions 942 to 1502 of the family's 1533-position model. Lineage: Bacteria; Pseudomonadati; Pseudomonadota; Gammaproteobacteria; Enterobacterales; Enterobacteriaceae. RNAcentral also lists the same sequence under 1 other name. The record is from RNAcentral.
UGGUUUAAUUCGAUGCAACGCGAAGAACCUUACCUGGUCUUGACAUCCACGGAAGUUUUCAGAGAUGAGAAUGUGCCUUCGGGAACCGUGAGACAGGUGCUGCAUGGCUGUCGUCAGCUCGUGUUGUGAAAUGUUGGGUUAAGUCCCGCAACGAGCGCAACCCUUAUCCUUUGUUGCCAGCGGUCCGGCCGGGAACUCAAAGGAGACUGCCAGUGAUAAACUGGAGGAAGGUGGGGAUGACGUCAAGUCAUCAUGGCCCUUACGACCAGGGCUACACACGUGCUACAAUGGCGCAUACAAAGAGAAGCGACCUCGCGAGAGCAAGCGGACCUCAUAAAGUGCGUCGUAGUCCGGAUUGGAGUCUGCAACUCGACUCCAUGAAGUCGGAAUCGCUAGUAAUCGUGGAUCAGAAUGCCACGGUGAAUACGUUCCCGGGCCUUGUACACACCGCCCGUCACACCAUGGGAGUGGGUUGCAAAAGAAGUAGGUAGCUUAACCUUCGGGAGGGCGCUUACCACUUUGUGAUUCAUGACUGGGGUGAAGUCGUAACAAGGUAACCG